ACAACAUUCGGACCUCGAUCUACCGAACAAUAUCACCCAUUCGGUAGAAGAUCUUCCCUUUGUCGU
RNAcentral lists this microRNA precursor (66 nucleotides) under Bombyx mori (domestic silkworm). RNAcentral describes it as "mir-2774 microRNA precursor family". It matches the Rfam family "mir-2774 microRNA precursor family". The record is from Rfam by way of RNAcentral. Lineage: Eukaryota; Metazoa; Arthropoda; Insecta; Lepidoptera; Bombycidae.